ACUUCAUCGUUGCCUUAUUGGCUUUAGCAUCCUCUGUUGGUUUUGCCUAUGAUCCCAGCCCAUUGCAAGACUUUUGUGUUGCAAUCAAUGAUACUAAAACUGGUGGUAUAUAUUUGUUGUUCAAUUGUUCAAAAUAAAUGAAUCCAUCCAUGUUAUUAUAGUUUAUUUAUUUAUUUUUUUGUUUAAAUGAUGAUGAGUUUUAUGCUUCUAUAUUAACUAAUUAGAAAGUGUCAAAAGUUCACUAUAAUAAUCAAUUUUUCUUGUGAUUUGGUUUUUUGAUUUACAGUGUUUGUGAAUGGAAAAUUUUGCAAAGAUCCUAAGCUUGCAAAUGCGGAUGAUUUCUUCUUUCAAGGAUUGGGACCUGGGAAUACUUCAAAUCCACUCGGAUCAAAAGUGACUCCAGUGACGGUUAAUGAAAUAUUAGGACUCAACACACUUGGUAUAUCUUUGGCUCGCGUCGA
This 461-nucleotide long non-coding RNA is filed under the name Medicago truncatula (barrel medic). RNAcentral describes it as "long non-coding RNA (MTRU_LNC005692)". Lineage: Eukaryota; Viridiplantae; Streptophyta; Magnoliopsida; Fabales; Fabaceae. The record is from RNAcentral.